This 73-nucleotide transfer RNA is filed under the name Alphaproteobacteria bacterium 40-19. Its description in RNAcentral is "tRNA-Ala". It matches the Rfam family "tRNA". From Rfam's summary of the family: Transfer RNA (tRNA) molecules are approximately 80 nucleotides in length. Lineage: Bacteria; Pseudomonadati; Pseudomonadota; Alphaproteobacteria. RNAcentral also lists the same sequence under 1 other name. The record is from RNAcentral.
GGGGUCAUAGCUCAGCUGGAAGAGCGCUACAAUGGCAUUGUAGAGGUCGGCGGUUCGAUCCCGCCUGGCUCCA